CAGGAUGAACGCUAGCGGCAGGCUUAACACAUGCAAGUCGAGGGGUAACAGGUAGCUUGCUAUGCUGACGACCGGCGAACGGGUGCGUAACGCGUAUAGAAUCUGCCUUGUACAGGAGGAUAGCCUUUAGAAAUGAAGAUUAAUACUCCAUAAUGUUAAUUAGAGGCAUCUCUUAUUAAUUAAACAUUUAUGGGUACAAGAUGACUAUGCGUCCUAUUAGCUAGAUGGUAAGGUAACGGCUUACCAUGGCAACGAUAGGUAGGGGGUCUGAGAGGAUUAUCCCCCACACUGGUACUGAGACACGGACCAGACUCCUACGGGAGGCAGCAGUGAGGAAUAUUGGUCAAUGGAGGCAACUCUGAACCAGCUAUGCCGCGUGCAGGAAGACUGCCCUAUGGGUUGUAAACUGCUUUUAUACAGGAAGAAACAGUAGUACGUGUACUACCUUGACGGUACUGUAAGAAUAAGGACCGGCUAACUCCGUGCCAGCAGCCGCGGUAAUACGGAGGGUCCAAGCGUUAUCCGGAAUCAUUGGGUUUAAAGGGUCCGCAGGCGGUCAAUUAAGUCAGAGGUGAAAGCCCAUCGCUCAACGAUGGAACUGCCUUUGAUACUGGUUGACUUGAGUUAUACGGAAGUAGAUAGAAUAAGUAGUGUAGCGGUGAAAUGCAUAGAUAUUACUUAGAAUACCGAUUGCGAAGGCAGUCUACUACGUAUAUACUGACGCUCAUGGACGAAAGCGUGGGGAGCGAACAGGAUUAGAUACCCUGGUAGUCCACGCCGUAAACGAUGGAUACUAGUUGUUGGGUUUCGACUCAGUGACUAAGCGAAAGUGAUA
Molecule: ribosomal RNA, 835 nt
Filed under: uncultured Tenacibaculum sp.
Lineage: Bacteria; Pseudomonadati; Bacteroidota; Flavobacteriia; Flavobacteriales; Flavobacteriaceae
Description: bacterial SSU rRNA
Rfam family: Bacterial small subunit ribosomal RNA
Source: RNAcentral